RNAcentral lists this ribosomal RNA (419 nucleotides) under Ehrlichia canis. Its description in RNAcentral is "bacterial SSU rRNA". It matches the Rfam family "Bacterial small subunit ribosomal RNA", at positions 65 to 514 of the family's 1533-position model. Lineage: Bacteria; Pseudomonadati; Pseudomonadota; Alphaproteobacteria; Rickettsiales; Anaplasmataceae. The record is from RNAcentral.
CAUUAUUUAUAGCCUCUGGCUAUAGGAAAUUGUUAGUGGCAGACGGGUGAGUAAUGCGUAGGAAUCUACCUAGUAGUACGGAAUAGCCAUUAGAAAUGGUGGGUAAUACUGUAUAAUCCCCGAGGGGGAAAGAUUUAUCGCUAUUAGAUGAGCCUACGUUAGAUUAGCUAGUUGGUGAGGUAAUGGCUUACCAAGGCUAUGAUCUAUAGCUGGUCUGAGAGGACGAUCAGCCACACUGGAACUGAGAUACGGUCCAGACUCCUACGGGAGGCAGCAGUGGGGAAUAUUGGACAAUGGGCGAAAGCCUGAUCCAGCUAUGCCGCGUGAGUGAAGAAGGCCUUCGGGUUGUAAAACUCUUUCAAUAGGGAAGAUAAUGACGGUACCUAUAGAAGAAGUCCCGGCAAACUCUGUGCCAGCCG